GUAGUAUGACGUAUUUUAUUUUUGCUCGCGUUAAUGCGCGGCGACAAGCAAACACUUACACAUGUGUUUUUGUUUAUUGAAAACUUGCUUUGGUUUGGCGAAAGCUGGGCCAAAGACUUACACAAACUUCAAUUGCGAAAUUGAAUUGUUUUAAAUUUUUAUUGUCAAUUUUGUUUGAUUAAUUUCAAAAUAAUCUUCAAAACUUUCAACAACGGAUCUCUUGGUUCUCGCAUCGAUGAAGAACGCAGCGAAAUGCGAUAAGUAAUAUGAAUUGCAGAUUUUCGUGAAUCAUCGAAUCUUUGAACGCACAUUGCGCCCUUUGGUAUUCCAAAGGGCAUGCCUGUUUGAGCGUCAUUUCUCCUUCAAACCUUUGGGUUUGGUGUUGAGUGAUACUCUUAGUCAACUAAGUGUUUGCUUCAAAUAUAAUGGCAGGAGUGUACUGGAUAGUACGAACUGGUUAUUCAAUGUAUUAGGUUUAUCCAACUCGUUGAAGACUGGGGCAGUAAAUUUCUAGUAAUUGGCUCGGCCUUAUAAUAACAAACUAAGUUUGACCUCAAAUCAGGUAAGAAUACCCGCUGAACUUAAGCAUAUCAAUAAGCGGAGGAGGAUCAUUACUGAUAGUUUUAGUUUGUUGCCUGCGCUUAAUUGCGCGGCGACAGCAAACACCUUACACACUGUGUUUUUGUUUAUUGAAAACUUGCUUUGGUUUGGCGAAAGCUGGGCCAAGACUUACACAAACUUCAUUUGCGAAAUUGAAUUGUUUAAAUUUUAUUGUCAAUUUUGUUUGAUUAAUUUCAAAAUAUUCUCAAACUUUCAACACGAUCUCUGUUUCGCAUCGCAUGAAGACGCCACGCAAAUGGCGAUAGUAAUAUGGAAUGUGCAGGAU
This 886-nucleotide ribosomal RNA is filed under the name Yamadazyma membranifaciens. Its description in RNAcentral is "eukaryotic LSU rRNA". The stretch from base 201 to 354 matches the Rfam family "5.8S ribosomal RNA". Lineage: Eukaryota; Fungi; Ascomycota; Pichiomycetes; Serinales; Debaryomycetaceae. The record is from RNAcentral.